GCCUGUUGAAGAUUUUCUUUAGAUUACAUAGGUGUUGAAUAUAUUCGAUAUUCACUGUUUGUGAAUAAAGUCUAUUUACAAGAGUUCAUUUCAGGCAGGUUAAAGGUCAUCCAAUAGGUUUAAGGUCGACAAAUAUGCUAAGACCAUAAGACACAUUUAAGGUCAUACAAUAGGUUUAAGGUCAACAGAAAUGCUAAGGCAAUAAGAUAGGUUAAAGGUCUUUCAACAGGUUUUAAGGUCAACAGAAAUGCUAAGACAAUAAGAUAGGUUAAAGGUCUUUCAAUAGGUUUUAAGGUCAGCAGAUAUGCUAAGAAGAUUGAUAGGUUAAUUAAGGUCAACAGAAAUGCUAAGACAAUAAGAUAGGUUAAAGGUCUUUCAAUAGGUUUUAAGGUCAGCAGAUAUGCUAAGAAGAUUGAUAGGUUUAGGUUAAUUCAUCAGGUUUAUGGUUAUCAGAUGUGUGAAAAGUAAUUCAACAGGUUUUAUGUCAUUAGAAUUGUGUAAGGUCAUUAGAUAUGUGUAAGGUCAUUGGAAAUGUGUAAGGUCAUUAGAUAUCUGUAAGGUCAGUAGUCAAUUUAAGGUCAUUCAAUAGGUUUAAGGCUAUUUGACCAGUUCCACUUUUAUAAUUUGGAAUGGAAACUUUAUCUUAAUAUUUUUAUUCAAGGUAAGGUUUCUAGCUUUGAUCAUGUCAAAUCAGCAUAAUUAAUGAAUUAACAGUAUUUUUAAUAUUUUUU
Molecule: long non-coding RNA, 731 nt
Filed under: Mytilus galloprovincialis (Mediterranean mussel)
Lineage: Eukaryota; Metazoa; Mollusca; Bivalvia; Mytilida; Mytilidae
Source: RNAcentral